Molecule: ribosomal RNA, 274 nt
Filed under: uncultured bacterium
Lineage: Bacteria
Description: partial 16S ribosomal RNA
Rfam family: Bacterial small subunit ribosomal RNA
Source: RNAcentral
CUACGGAGGGUGCAAGCGUUAUCCGGAAUCAUUGGGUUUAAAGGGUCCGUAGGCGGACUAAUAAGUCAGGGGUGAAAUCCCACAGCUUAACUGUGGAACUGCCUUUGAUACUGUUAGUCUUGAGUUAUAUGGAAGUAGAUAGAAUGUGUAGUGUAGCGGUGAAAUGCUUAGAGAUUACACAGAAUACCGAUUGCGAAGGCAGUCUACUACAUAUAUACUGACGCUAAUGGACGAAAGCGUGGGGAGCGAACAGGAUUAGAUACCCUAGUAGUCC